UACGGAGGGUGCGAGCGUUAAUCAGAUUGACUGGGCGUAAAGGGUGCGUAGGUGGUUAUAUAAGUUGGAUGUGAAAGCCCUGGGCUCAACCUAGGCGGGUCAUCCAAAACUGUAUAACUAGAGUGCAGCAGAGGAAGGUAGAAUUUCAGGUGUAGCGGUGAAAUGCGUAGAUAUCUGAAGGAAUACCGGUGGCGAAGGCGGCCUUCUGGGCUGACACUGACACUGAGGCACGAAAGCGUGGGGAGCAAAC
Molecule: ribosomal RNA, 250 nt
Filed under: uncultured bacterium
Lineage: Bacteria
Description: partial 16S ribosomal RNA
Rfam family: Bacterial small subunit ribosomal RNA
Source: RNAcentral